AGUGAACGCUGGCGGUAGGCCUAACACAUGCAAGUCGAACGGCAGCACAGGAGAGCUUGCUCUCUAGGUGGCGAGUGGCGGACGGGUGAGGAAUACAUCGGAAUCUGCCCAGUCGUGGGGGAUAACGUAGGGAAACUUACGCUAAUACCGCAUACGACCUUCGGGUGAAAGAGGGGGAUCGCAAGACCUCUCGCGAUUGGAUGAGCCGAUGUCGGAUUAGCUAGUUAGCGGGGUAAUGGCCCACCAAGGCGACGAUCCGUAGCUGGUCUGAGAGGAUGAUCAGCCACACUGGAACUGAGACACGGUCCAGACUCCUACGGGAGGCAGCAGUGGGGAAUAUUGGACAAUGGGCGCAAGCCUGAUCCAGCCAUACCGCGUGGGUGAAGAAGGCCUUCGGGUUGUAAAGCCCUUUUGUUGGGAAAGAAAUCUUUCAGGCUAAUACCCUGGGAGGAUGACGGUACCAAAAGAAUAAGCACCGGCUAACUUCGUG
This 490-nucleotide ribosomal RNA is filed under the name uncultured bacterium. RNAcentral describes it as "partial 16S ribosomal RNA". It matches the Rfam family "Bacterial small subunit ribosomal RNA", at positions 29 to 507 of the family's 1533-position model. The record is from RNAcentral.